This 335-nucleotide unclassified non-coding RNA is filed under the name soil metagenome. Its description in RNAcentral is "partial contains 5.8S ribosomal RNA, internal transcribed spacer 2, and large subunit ribosomal RNA". The stretch from base 1 to 120 matches the Rfam family "5.8S ribosomal RNA", at positions 35 to 154 of the family's 154-position model. The record is from RNAcentral.
GAUGAAGAACGUAGCGAAAUGCGAUAAGUAAUGUGAAUUGCAGAAUUCAGUGAAUCAUCGAAUCUUUGAACGCACAUUGCGCCCAUUAGCAUUCUAGUGGGCAUGCCUGUUCGAGCGUCAUUUCAACCCUUAAGCCCUGUUGCUUAGCGUUGGGAGCCUACAGUACUGUAGCUCCCCAAAGUUAGUGGCGGAGUCGGUUUCACACUCUAGACGUAGUAAAUUUUUCUCGUCUGUAGUUGAGCCGGUCCCCUGCCAUAAAACACCCAAUUUAUCAAGGUUGACCUCGGAUCAGGUAGGAAUACCCGCUGAACUUAAGCAUAUCAAUAAGCGGAGGA